UUAAAGUUCAUUUUGGGAAAAAAUUGUCGCCAUAAUUUUUAUUAGCGACAAAUCACACAUUUAUAAUUAUGUAGAUAUGUAGUAUUGAUUGCAAUUACCAGCCUUCACAUUCCGAGCGGAAAAAAAAAUAAAAAAUAAAAAAAUAAAAUAGCGUAGUACAUGUUUAUUAUUUUUUUUUUUAAAUAAGCUAAUUUAUAAUUUUUGUAAGGUGUGGUUUUUAAACUUUUACCAAUUUUAAGUGUUCUAUUUAAUUUUAUUAUCUAUCGAUUUUUUUUUUUUUAAAGGAAGAAACUUCAUGUGGUAAACAAUUUUUUAAAAAGGUAUAUUAUUUGAAAUAAUACGACCGAGCAGGGAACUAUGAUGAUUCUUUAUUGAGUCAGACGAAGAUGAUGAUGACGAGCAAGAGAUGCUCAGAAGAAUAAAACUUUCACCACUCUCCCUCAUCAAAGUGGUUCACUAUUAAAUAGUUAGGUGCCCAAUCAACGUGUUAACCCUUGGUGAUUUUGAAUUCAUUAGUGAGUCAGACAAAGAUGAUGAGCAAGAUGAUGCUUAGAAGAAUAAAACUAUUUCACCACUCUCCCUCAUCAAGGUGGUCCACUAUUAAAUAGUUAGGUGCCCAAUCAAUGUGUUAACCCUUGGUGAUUUUGAAUUCAUUAGUGAGUCAG
Long non-coding RNA from Cimex lectularius (bed bug), 665 nucleotides. RefSeq lists it as uncharacterized. Lineage: Eukaryota; Metazoa; Arthropoda; Insecta; Hemiptera; Cimicidae. The record is from RefSeq and is a predicted model, not a curated record. The transcript has 3 exons.